CGUACACUCCUGCGGGAGGCAGCAGUGGGGAAUAUUGGACAAUGGGCGCAAGCCUGAUCCAGCCAUGCCGCGUGAGUGAUGAAGGCCCUAGGGUUGUAAAGCUCUUUCACCGGUGAAGAUAAUGACGGUAACCGGAGAAGAAGCCCCGGCUAACUUCGUGCCAGCAGCCGCGGUAAUACGAAGGGGGCUAGCGUUGUUCGGAUUUACUGGGCGUAAAGCGCACGUAGGCGGACUAUUAAGUCAGGGGUGAAAUCCCGGGGCUCAACCCCGGAACUGCCUUUGAUACUGGUAGUCUUGAGUUCGAGAGAGGUGAGUGGAAUUCCGAGUGUAGAGGUGAAAUUCGUAGAUAUUCGGAGGAACACCAGUGGCGAAGGCGGCUCACUGGCUCGAUACUGACGCUGAGGUGCGAAAGCGUGGGGAGCAAACAGGAUUAGAUACCCCGGUAGUCCCA
RNAcentral lists this ribosomal RNA (451 nucleotides) under uncultured organism. Its description in RNAcentral is "partial 16S ribosomal RNA". It matches the Rfam family "Bacterial small subunit ribosomal RNA", at positions 330 to 797 of the family's 1533-position model. The record is from RNAcentral.